CAGUGUAUUGGUGGCUAAAAAGCCAGGGGCGGUAGCGUG
This 39-nucleotide non-coding RNA is filed under the name Shigella boydii Sb227. RNAcentral's name for it is "JUMPstart RNA". It matches the Rfam family "JUMPstart RNA". The record is from RNAcentral. Lineage: Bacteria; Pseudomonadati; Pseudomonadota; Gammaproteobacteria; Enterobacterales; Enterobacteriaceae.